UUUUGUCCGGAAAGAAAUCCCUGGCUCUAAUACAGUCGGGGGAUGACGGUACCGGAAGAAUAAGCACCGGCUAACUACGUGCCAGCAGCCGCGGUAAUACGUAGGGUGCGAGCGUUAAUCGGAAUUACUGGGCGUAAAGCGUGCGCAGGCGGUCUGUUAAGACAGAUGUGAAAUCCCCGGGCUCAACCUGGGAACUGCAUUUGUGACUGGCAGGCUAGAGUAUGGCAGAGGGGGGUAGAAUUCCACGUGUAGCAGUGAAAUGCGUAGAGAUGUGGAGGAAUACCGAUGGCGAAGGCAGCCCCCUGGGCCAAUACUGACGCUCAUGCACGAAAGCGUGGGGAGCAAACAGGAUUAGAUACCCUGGUAGUCCACGCCCUAAACGAUGUCAACUAGUUGUUGGGGAUUCAUUUCCUUAGUAACGUAGCUAACGCGUGAAGUUGACCGCCUGGGGAGUACGGUCGCAAGAUUAAAACUCAAAGGAAUUGACGGGGACCCGCACAAGCGGUGGAUGAUGUGGAUUAAUUCGAUGCAACGCGAAAAACCUUACCUACCCUUGACAUGGUCGGAAUCCUGAAGAGAUUCGGGAGUGCUCGAAAGAGAACCGGCGCACAGCUGCUGCAUGGCCGUCGUCAGCUCGUGUCGUGAGAUGUUGGGUUAAGUCCCGCAACGAGCGCAACCCUUGUCCUUAGUUGCUACGCAAGAGCACUCUAAGGAGACUGCCGGUGACAAACCGGAGGAAGGUGGGGAUGACGUCAAGUCCUCAUGGCCCUUAUGGGUAGGGCUUCACACGUCAUACAAUGGUCGGAACAGAGGGUUGCCAACCCGCGAGGGGGAGCUAAUCCCAGAAAACCGAUCGUAGUCCGGAUUGCACUCUGCAACUCGAGUGCAUGAAGCUGGAAUCGCUAGUAAUCGCGGAUCAGCAUGCCGCGGUGAAUACGUUCCCGGGUCUUGUACACACCGCCCGUCACACCAUGGGAGUGGGUUUUACCAGAAGUGGCUAGUCUAACCGCAAGGAGGACGGUCACCACGGUAGGAUUCAUG
Molecule: ribosomal RNA, 1041 nt
Filed under: Burkholderia multivorans
Lineage: Bacteria; Pseudomonadati; Pseudomonadota; Betaproteobacteria; Burkholderiales; Burkholderiaceae
Description: bacterial SSU rRNA
Rfam family: Bacterial small subunit ribosomal RNA
Source: RNAcentral